CUACGUAUAGGUUUUCAUCUGAAAAUCAAAAUUUAGUUGGUAGAGAUUUUAUCACCAAACAAAAGGAUAAAAAAUAAUAAAAGAAACGCAACAUUUUUGAACUGCGCACACUUAUUGUUUUAAAUAAAAAAAUCCCGAAAAACAUUAAUACUUUCCGAGAUGUUUAAAAAAAAAAGUUUAAUGUUAAUGUUUCAGAUGGUUAGUUAGAAAGGCAGAAUAUACAGAUUAAUUUAAUUCAUACAAUGUUUGCAACGAUAAAUCGUUAAUUGAAAAAACAAUAUUAUUCAAAGUAUAUCAGCCCUGUAUUUUUCCCUUGUUGGCAAGAUAACCCAGAAAUUAACAGAAAAUAAAACCUACAUUACCUACUGAAAUAUCUUAAAAAAAGUACCACCGGGUAAAAAUCUCGCAAAUGAAUGAAUUAGACAAUUUGUUUAACUAAAAGUAGUGAUUUU
Non-coding RNA from Cinara cedri, 452 nucleotides. Lineage: Eukaryota; Metazoa; Arthropoda; Insecta; Hemiptera; Aphididae. The record is from the annotation of a GenBank genome assembly.